UACGUAGGUGGCAAGCGUUGUCCGGAUUUACUGGGCGUAAAGAGCGCGCAGGCGGUCGUUCACGUCGAGUGUGAAAGCCCCCGGCUCAACUGGGGAGGGUCAUUCGAUACUGAUCGACUCGAAGGCAGGAGAGGGUAGUGGAAUUCCCGGUGUAGUGGUGAAAUGCGUAGAUAUCGGGAGGAACACCAGUGGCGAAGGCGACUACCUGGCCUGUUCUUGACGCUGAGGCGCGAAAGCUAGGGGAGCAAACGGG
This 253-nucleotide ribosomal RNA is filed under the name uncultured bacterium. Its description in RNAcentral is "partial 16S ribosomal RNA". It matches the Rfam family "Bacterial small subunit ribosomal RNA", at positions 524 to 776 of the family's 1533-position model. The record is from RNAcentral.